Molecule: ribosomal RNA, 119 nt
Filed under: Pteropus alecto (black flying fox)
Lineage: Eukaryota; Metazoa; Chordata; Mammalia; Chiroptera; Pteropodidae
Source: RNAcentral
CUCUAUUGCCAUGCCACCCUGAAUGUGCUCAAAUUUGUCUGAUCUCAGAAGCUAAGCAGGGUCAGGCCUGGUUAGUACUUGGAUGGGAGACCACCUAGGAAGACCAGGUGCUGUAGGCG